UAUCACCUUUGAGUCGUUCAAAAUAUGUGACAUAAUUUGUUGAUAAAUAAAUAGUUACUUCUUAAGUUUACUCUAAUAAUUAAAUUAUUUAACUUUGGACAUUAAGCUGGCGACUUCAGUGAAUUCGUGUUUAUAAUCUAAUAAUAUUACUUGCGAUACAAACGUUUAUGAGCGAACGACGAGUUGCUGUACCAAGUUUUUAAGUUAAGUGCUUUCGGACGAUAAGUGGAUCAUUCACCAAUCGUGCCUAUUAAAUUUAUCUUUUUCCGCUCAAUCUUAAAGUCAUUGUUUGAUUAUUUUUAUUUGUAAAAACAGUACAUUUUUUUUAUACGCCUUAUCAUUUAUCGACGAAAAAUUUGAAUUACCUACUCUGAUUGCUUAACAGUUUGUCAACAUUCCACUGACAACAUAAUAUUAUAUUGUUAGUACUUAGUAGUUAUCAUGUAGAAAACGCCACUCUACAGUAGUCCUUUUUUUCUUUUUAAGUAUGGACUCGAUCGUCUCUAACAGUAGCGGGUAUGAUCAAUCCGUUGACUGGGUACCAUUGUCUCUGACGUUUGUUGAAUAUCCAAAGGGGAAUAUAUUUGGAAAAUUAUUGGCGUUGUUUAGUUUGACACCUUUCGUGAUUCUGUCUGGUUUUAUUUCUUUGAUUCUAUUUCGUCGAGAUUUACAUACAAUCACUUUUUUCAUUGGAGUAUUACUCAAUGAAAUAUGCAAUACAGUUCUUAAACAUAUAUUACGUGAACCUAGACCCUUAGCUAGAAAUACAAAUUUGUUGUACUCUGAAUAUGGCAUGCCUUCAUCUCAUUCUCAAUUUAUGUGGUUUUUUGCAUCAUACAUGUUAUACUUCACAUUUAUAAGGUUACAGUAUGCUAACAACAAGGCAUUUAAAGAGUUUUUCUGGAAAGUUGCUGGAGCAGCAUCAUGCAUUGCUAUUGCCUGUAUAGUUUCUUAUAGCAGAAUCUUUCUACAAUAUCAUACAUGGAAGCAAGUAAUAUAUGGUGCACUAUUUGGUAUUAUUAUAGGAACUAUUUGGUUUACCAUAAUUAAUGUGGUAUUGACUCCAUAUUUUCCAACAGUUAUUUCUUGACAUCCUCAGUAUGUUCAAUCUGGAGUAUGGAUUCUACUACUGUGUCCAACAUUAGUUUAAUUUAUUAUAAUUAUUAAUUUGCUUUGGCCUUGAGACUUGAGUUCUAUAAAGUGCUAAAAUAAUUUUUGUUUGUUUUGCUUUGAAAUACUUCACGUAUUUACAUCUUCAUCAGCACAUAUUGUGAUAUCAUAUUUAUUUCAAUGAUACGUUUAAAAAUUAAAUGUACCAUAAUCUACCAUUCAAAAAUGUGUCUAAUGUCUAAUUAUUUUGUCGCCUAAUUUUACUGUUAAAUAAUAUAAACAUAAUGCAUACUAUACUCCGUUCCAUAUAAGAGCGCACCACCUUGGCGCCUCCAAAUGAAUCGCGGAGCGACGUCCGGACCUACAGGCUGAGUCUAUUUGCUCUGCUAUUGGUUGUCGCUGCCGACGACGCUGUGGUAAACAGGGAAUCACCAAGUGUAGUGGGGAGAGAUGCGAAAAUAUCAGAACUAUUUUUGUUGAGAGACACUACGUUAAUUCCCAAUGUCUUAUGGUUUGAAUACACAAAUAUUCGUCAUGAAGCAGGAGCUAGAGCCAGACGUAGAAAAUC
Molecule: RNA transcript, 1678 nt
Organism: Myzus persicae (green peach aphid)
Lineage: Eukaryota; Metazoa; Arthropoda; Insecta; Hemiptera; Aphididae
Gene name: dolichyldiphosphatase 1-like
Exons: 7
Source: RefSeq, a predicted model, not a curated record